This is a small nuclear RNA of Phyllostomus discolor (pale spear-nosed bat), 104 nucleotides long. The record is from RefSeq and is a predicted model, not a curated record. Lineage: Eukaryota; Metazoa; Chordata; Mammalia; Chiroptera; Phyllostomidae.
GUGUUUGCUUUGGUAGUACAUAUACUAAAACUGAAAUGAUACAGAGAUUAGCGUGGCCCCUAUGCAAGGGUAACAUGCAAAUUCAUGAAGUGUUCCAUAUUUUU